RNAcentral lists this unclassified non-coding RNA (357 nucleotides) under Hevea brasiliensis (rubber tree). Lineage: Eukaryota; Viridiplantae; Streptophyta; Magnoliopsida; Malpighiales; Euphorbiaceae. The record is from RNAcentral.
GUUACAUCCAAACCCACCAAACAAAAAAUAAAUUAUACCAAAGCUAUAUGUAAAAUUUGGCACAUAAAACAAACUCAUAUAGUAGUAACUUUUCAAAGUGCGGGUUUGAUGAUGGCAUAGUUUGUGUAUUUGCCUAAUGGAUCUUCUUCACUUUUCAACAUGCCAUUGAGUUCCCUAACGAAUAUUUCCAUUGCAAAAGCAGGCAAACAUACAGGCACCACAAUUCCAUUUUCACCAUUUUUGUUUUUAAAUGGUAUGUAAAAACUCGCCACACCAGGGAUUGCUCCUACUCCUCCUUUAGCCGGUCCACCAUACACUGCUUUCCCCCAUCCAAAAUCUACUUCUCCUUUAGCCGGU